RNAcentral lists this non-coding RNA (233 nucleotides) under Heyndrickxia coagulans. RNAcentral describes it as "Bacillus coagulans T-box sequence". It matches the Rfam family "T-box leader". From Rfam's summary of the family: Uncharged tRNA acts as the effector for transcription antitermination of genes in the T-box leader family. The record is from RNAcentral. Lineage: Bacteria; Bacillati; Bacillota; Bacilli; Caryophanales; Bacillaceae.
AUAAAAACCAUGACAGGGAAAAGUAGCUUGAUCUUCGCCAUGCAGGGAGAAAAUGCCGUAGACUGGAAGCAUUUUUAUGGGGAAAUGAAGCGAAGUUCACCCCUCGAGUUGCCGCUUGGACCAUUGCCUGCAAUGUAAAGGCGGGACGGUUAAAAGCCGUUAUUGAAAUGAAGCGAACAUAAUUUAAUUAUGUUAAUUAGGGUGGUACCGCGAACCAUUGCCUCGUCCCUUUU